This 75-nucleotide transfer RNA is filed under the name Photobacterium kishitanii. RNAcentral's name for it is "tRNA-Gly". It matches the Rfam family "tRNA". Rfam says of the family: Transfer RNA (tRNA) molecules are approximately 80 nucleotides in length. Their secondary structure includes four short double-helical elements and three loops (D, anti-codon, and T loops). Further hydrogen bonds mediate the characteristic L-shaped molecular structure. tRNAs have two regions of fundamental functional importance: the anti-codon, which is responsible for specific mRNA codon recognition, and the 3' end, to which the tRNAs corresponding amino acid is attached (by aminoacyl-tRNA synthetases). tRNAs cope with the degeneracy of the genetic code in two manners: having more than one tRNA (with a specific anti-codon) for a particular amino acid; and 'wobble' base-pairing, i.e. permitting non-standard base-pairing at the 3rd anti-codon position. The record is from RNAcentral. Lineage: Bacteria; Pseudomonadati; Pseudomonadota; Gammaproteobacteria; Vibrionales; Vibrionaceae.
GCGAGAAUCGUAUAAUGGUUAUUACCUCAGCCGUCCAAGCUGAUGAUGCAGGUUCGACUCCUGCUGCUCGCUCCA